This 583-nucleotide ribosomal RNA is filed under the name uncultured bacterium. RNAcentral describes it as "bacterial SSU rRNA". It matches the Rfam family "Bacterial small subunit ribosomal RNA", at positions 338 to 916 of the family's 1533-position model. The record is from RNAcentral.
CCUACGGGAGGCAGCAGUGGGGAAUUUUGGACAAUGGGCGCAAGCCUGAUCCAGCAAUGCCGCGUGAGUGAAGAAGGCCUUCGGGUUGUAAAGCUCUUUCAGUCGAGAAGAAAAGGUUGUGACUAAUAAUCAUAACUCAUGACGGUAUCGACAGAAGAAGCACCGGCUAACUACGUGCCAGCAGCCGCGUAAUACGUAGGGUGCGAGCGUUAAUCGGAAUUACUGGGCGUAAAGUGUGCGCAGGCGGUUCUGUAAGUCAGAUGUGAAAUCCCCGGCUUAACCUGGGAACUGCGUUUGAAACUACAGGACUAGAGUGUGGCAGAGGGGGGUGGAAUUCCAUGUGUAGCAGUGAAAUGCGUAGAGAUAUGGAAGAACAUCGAUGGCGAAGGCAGCCCCCUGGGUUAACACUGACGCACAUGCACGAAAGCGUGGGGAGCAAACAGGAUUAGAUACCCUGGUAGUCCACGCCCUAAACUAUGUCAACUAGUUGUCGGGUCUUAUUAGACUUGGUAACGUAGCUAACGCGUGAAGUUGACCGCCUGGGGAGUACGGUCGCAAGAUUAAAACUCAAAGGAAUUGACGG